RNAcentral lists this long non-coding RNA (583 nucleotides) under Ananas comosus (pineapple). RNAcentral's name for it is "long non-coding RNA (ACOM_LNC014804)". Lineage: Eukaryota; Viridiplantae; Streptophyta; Magnoliopsida; Poales; Bromeliaceae. The record is from RNAcentral.
GAAGAAAUCAUCAAUGGUGAGUUGGACUGCAACGACCCGACCCGCUAGCAACAAUAACUCGUUGGGUCAAACCACCGGCCCAAAAUGCUUAAGUCCAGUUAUUAUUACUAGCACGUAGGCCUCAUAUAAACUGAUCGAAAUCAGUAUCCCAUCAAAUGUGGGACUAUUGGGGGUGUUACAAACUCCCCCUGUUUAGACCCUGACGUCCUCGUCGGGUCCAAACCAGAUCACAGACAGACAGGCCAGGAUCGAAAUUACCAGGCGAUGUGAAUUCUAGAGGUGGCUCCUACGGGUUCAAGAGGUGGCUCCCACCAAAUCCGUUGGUGUAGCACUUUGUCCCGCAUAGCACUUAGCUCUCACACUUCCGGCUGGUAUUCGUCUCUAAUACCAAUUGGAACGACCCGACCCGCUAGCAACAAUAACUCGUUGGGCCAAACCACCGGCCCAAAAUGCUUAAGCCUAGUUAUUAUUACUAGCGCGUAAGCCUCAUAUAAAUUGAUCGAAAUCAGUAUCCCAUCCAAUGUGGGACUAUUGGGGGUGUUACAUGGACCGUAAAUGAACUGAAGAAUUAAGGUAAUUAAUG